This is a non-coding RNA of Pelobates cultripes (western spadefoot toad), 203 nucleotides long. Lineage: Eukaryota; Metazoa; Chordata; Amphibia; Anura; Pelobatidae. The record is from the annotation of a GenBank genome assembly.
CCUAUCGCCUGGUGCCAUGACCUGCGGCACCCAAUGCAGAAUGUGUCCCACAUAGAGGGGGCAGCCCUAAUCAGCAGUAAAGCUGCUACCGUCGCCCCCCUUUAAAAAGCACCCAAGACAGCCGCCUAAUCUGCCUAUAGGAUGCGCCAGUCCCUGUCUGUAAAGUGAGUUCCUUACCAGGAGCCCAGUGACAGAGUCUAAGG